Molecule: long non-coding RNA, 1570 nt
Organism: Panicum virgatum (switchgrass)
Lineage: Eukaryota; Viridiplantae; Streptophyta; Magnoliopsida; Poales; Poaceae
Exons: 6
Source: RefSeq, a predicted model, not a curated record
UUUACGGUUCCUGUUGCUUAUGUGCUUGCAGUGCAGUGCAGUUGGGCACAGAACGCGACACAUCGAUAUUGCUGGUUUAGUUAAGACUCUAAGUUGCUGCUGGACAUGCUAGAAAUUGAGGUUCUGUUUGUGCAUGGUGUUUAUUGCAGAGAAUACGGAGGUAGGGUGGUGUAUCUCGUAGAUAUUCAAAAAUUGUGUCCUAUUACGGGCUCACAACUCCGCCAUAUAAAGUGGAUGCUCUGGAACCUUAUAUGAGCAGGAGAACAGUUGCACUUCAUUGGGGUAAACACCAUCGGGAUUAUGUGGAGGGCUUAAAUAAGCAGCUUGCUAGCAGCCCCCUGUAUGGAUACACUCUGGAGGACCUGAUAAAAGAAGCACACAACAAUGGCAAUCCAUUACCAGAAUAUAAUAAUGCAGCACAGGUCUGGAAUGAACCAUCACUUCUUCUGGGAAUCAAUGCAACCAGAAGGUGGCGGCUUACCAUCAGAUUGAAAAGGAUUUUGGCCCGUUUACUAAUUUCAGGGAAGACUUUAUUUCCUAAGCCUUACAACUAUUGGGGUCUGGUUGGGUUUGGCUUGUCUUGAGGAGAAAUGAGAGAAAGCUUUCAGUAGUUCAUACACGAAAUGCCAUCUCCCCUCUUGCUUUUGGCGAUAUUCCAAUUGCCAGCCUAGACUUAUGGGAGUUAAGGACAUUGACUCCAAGUUUUUAGAUCCUACUUUGUGCCAUAUACUGACAUUUGUCCUUUUCUGUUCACCUCUCUUUUUUGUGUACUUGUUCAGCAAAUUAGUUCUAAAAAAUUUAGCAGAAAACAUCUGUGGUGCUUCCUUUGCAACUUUGCAGGAUGAUAAGCUAAUAUAUAUUACAAAGUUUAUGGACCAUCUCAUCUCUUGGGACACUGUCACUCUGCGCAUGAUGCGUGCUGAGUCUUUUGUGAACCAUGGUGAGCCAAAUAUCCCAGUGGCAUAAGGUACAAAUACACCAUGGUUAUCAGGUAAGGAUUCAGGACUUUGGAGCAGCCUGGUAAUUGUGCAGCUUAAUCAUGUAACUGGACACAUGAAAUGAGGGUGUCAUUAGUUUCUGCAGUGACGGAAACACUCAACCCAGAACAUCCAUAGAUUAUGUAAUGCUCUUUCUCAUGGAACAACAAGGCUUCAUUCAAACAUUUGUCUUUUUUUUCUACUUUUAAUUAAGGUUUGGUGGUGAGUCAUCACAGGGCAUAAGCUGCUACUGAACUGAGAACUUGGCAGUCUGAGGCUGUCCUUCUCACAUGAGAAACACCAGAUUGAUAUUUAUUGACAAGGAACACUUCUAUAAAGCACCCUGCUUUGUCAUAAUAAAACAAUAAAACGCCCUACCUUAAGGUAGUUGAUGGCUUGAUGCGAUGUUCUUGCGUCCACUGUAUGUCACCAUAAAUUAUUCAGGAUACAGCUAGCCUACUUGAGGAUUGCGGAUGGUCCAUUUAUUUUCCCUUAUGUCACCUCAUAUAAAAGAAACUACUGUAUUUAAUAUCCCCUAUCAAGUUGUUUGGUGUUCAGCUGUUUAAAAGUUUGAUCCCUUUGUUUUGAUCCAC